CGCGUAGGCGGCUCGCCAAGCGUGUGGUGAAAGCCCGGGGCUCAACUCCGGGUCGGCCAUGCGAACUGGCGGGCUGGAGCACGGUAGAGGCCAAUGGAAUUCCGGGUGUAGCGGUGGAAUGCGUAGAGAUCCGGAAGAACACCGGUGGCGAAGGCGGUUGGCUGGGCCGUGGCUGACGCUGAGGCGCGACAGCGUGGGGAGCAAACA
RNAcentral lists this ribosomal RNA (207 nucleotides) under uncultured bacterium. Its description in RNAcentral is "partial 16S ribosomal RNA". It matches the Rfam family "Bacterial small subunit ribosomal RNA", at positions 568 to 774 of the family's 1533-position model. The record is from RNAcentral.